RNAcentral lists this ribosomal RNA (613 nucleotides) under Pseudomonas sp. Its description in RNAcentral is "bacterial SSU rRNA". It matches the Rfam family "Bacterial small subunit ribosomal RNA", at positions 152 to 760 of the family's 1533-position model. The record is from RNAcentral. Lineage: Bacteria; Pseudomonadati; Pseudomonadota; Gammaproteobacteria; Pseudomonadales; Pseudomonadaceae.
CGAAAGGAACGCUAAUACCGCAUACGUCCUACGGGAGAAAGCAGGGGACCUUCGGGCCUUGCGCUAUCAGAUGAGCCUAGGUCGGAUUAGCUAGUUGGUGAGGUAAUGGCUCACCAAGGCGACGAUCCGUAACUGGUCUGAGAGGAUGAUCAGUCACACUGGAACUGAGACACGGUCCAGACUCCUACGGGAGGCAGCAGUGGGGAAUAUUGGACAAUGGGCGAAAGCCUGAUCCAGCCAUGCCGCGUGUGUGAAGAAGGUCUUCGGAUUGUAAAGCACUUUAAGUUGGGAGGAAGGGCAUUAAUCUAAUACGUUAGUGUUUUGACGUUACCGACAGAAUAAGCACCGGCUAACUUCGUGCCAGCAGCCGCGGUAAUACGAAGGGUGCAAGCGUUAAUCGGAAUUACUGGGCGUAAAGCGCGCGUAGGUGGUUUGUUAAGUUGAAUGUGAAAGCCCCGGGCUCAACCUGGGAACUGCAUCCAAAACUGGCAAGCUAGAGUAUGGCAGAGGGUGGUGGAAUUUCCUGUGUAGCGGUGAAAUGCGUAGAUAUAUGAAGGAACACCAGUGGCGAAGGCGACCACUUGGGCUAAUACUGACACUGAGGUGCGAAAGC